AGCAGCCGCGGUAGUUCCAGCUCCAAUAGCGUAUACUAAAGUUGUUGUGGUUAAAAAGCUCGUAGUUGAACCUUGGGCCUGGCUGGCCGGUCCGCCUCACCGCGUGUACUGGUCCGGCCGGGCCUUUCCCUUUGUGGAACCCCCAUGCCCUUCACUGGGUGUGGCGGGGAAACAGGACUUUUACUUUGAAAAAUUAGAGUGCUCCAGGCAGGCCUAUGCUCGAAUACAUUAGCAUGGAAUAAUAGAAUAGGACGUGUGGUUCUAUUUUGUUGGUUUCUAGGACCGCCGUAAUGAUUAAUAGGGACAGUCGGGGGCAUCAGUAUUCAAUUGUCAGAGGUGAAAUUCUUGGAUUUAUUGAAGACUAACUACUGCGAAAGCAUUUGCCAAGGAUGUUUUCAUUAAUCAGGAACGAAAGUUAGGGGAUCGAAGACGAUCAGAUACCGUCGUAGUCUUAACCAUAAACUAUGCCGACUAGGGAUCGGACGAUGUUAUUUUUUGACUCGUUCGGCACCUUACGGGA
RNAcentral lists this unclassified non-coding RNA (520 nucleotides) under uncultured Paraglomus. Its description in RNAcentral is "SSU rRNA". It matches the Rfam family "Eukaryotic small subunit ribosomal RNA", at positions 569 to 1095 of the family's 1831-position model. Lineage: Eukaryota; Fungi; Glomeromycota; Glomeromycetes; Paraglomerales; Paraglomeraceae. The record is from RNAcentral.